CUCCUACGGGACGCAGCAGUGAGGAAUAUUGGUCAAUGGGCGGUAGCCUGAACCAGCCAAGUAGCGUGAAGGAUGAAGGUUCUAUGGAUUGUAAACUUCUUUUAUAAAGGAAUAAAGUGAGGCACGUGUGCCUUUUUGUAUGUACUUUAUGAAUAAGGAUCGGCUAACUCCGUGCCAGCAGCCGCGGUAAUACGUAGGAUCCGAGCGUUAUCCGGAUUUAUUGGGUUUAAAGGGAGCGUAGAUGGGUUGUUAAGUCAGCGGUAAAAUUGCGGUGCUCAACGCCGUAGAGCCGUUGAAACUGGGGU
Molecule: ribosomal RNA, 305 nt
Filed under: uncultured bacterium
Lineage: Bacteria
Description: bacterial SSU rRNA
Rfam family: Bacterial small subunit ribosomal RNA
Source: RNAcentral